This 253-nucleotide ribosomal RNA is filed under the name uncultured bacterium. RNAcentral's name for it is "partial 16S ribosomal RNA". It matches the Rfam family "Bacterial small subunit ribosomal RNA", at positions 524 to 776 of the family's 1533-position model. The record is from RNAcentral.
UACGUAGGGUGCGAGCGUUGUCCGGAAUUAUUGGGCGUAAAGGGCUCGUAGGCGGUUUGUCGCGUCGGGAGUGAAAUCCACUGGCUUAACUGGUGGCUUGCUUUCGAUACGGGCAGACUGGAGGUAUGCAGGGGAGAACGGAAUUCCUGGUGUAGCGGUGAAAUGCGCAGAUAUCAGGAGGAACACCUAUGGCGAAGGCAGCUCUCUGGUACGACACUGACGCUGAGACGCGAAAGCGUGGGGAGCGAACAGG